This 982-nucleotide long non-coding RNA is filed under the name Heterocephalus glaber (naked mole-rat). Its description in RNAcentral is "lncRNA (ENSHGLG00100052623.1)". The record is from RNAcentral. Lineage: Eukaryota; Metazoa; Chordata; Mammalia; Rodentia; Bathyergidae.
GUGCGCAGUCUGGGGCAUCAGGAUGGCAUGAUGAAGCAAUAUGCAGACUGGCAUUAGCUAUGCCCUGUGGGUCGGUCUGUCUCCCACCUACCCCUGCCCUCCUUCUGAGGCUGGCCUGGGCUGGGAGGAGGAGAGCCCCGGACAGCCUGGGAGGAGGGUACAGUGCCUUCCUGGUACAGACAUUGGAGGGAGUGUCUUGCCCAUCUUCCCUGCAGCCCAGUACAAAGGACCCAGGCAAUGAGUUCUGGGGAGCAGCCUGGAAAGCCAGAGCUGGAGGAAGGCAGAGGAGGGAGCCUGCCUGAGUAGAGACCGUAGAGGGACCCAGCCGGACCCAUGUCAAGUGCACCCAGAGACAGCUGCAGACAGACAGACACACAGACGGACAGACACCUGCAGGGAGACAGUGCUUUCUGGGAACUGGAAUUACAGGCAUGGCUGCAGAUGCUGACCCCGCUGGGCGCUCUGCAGGGCACAGACUGGACAGAGGCCAGGAUGACAGGGAAGGGGAUAAACUGGGCGAUUGCUGCCAUGGUCCAGGGAGAAAGGCCUCAAGGACACCACCUCUGCCAUGCGCAUCCUUCUCUGGUAACACAGGGAUCCGAGCUCAGGUUUGCGGCCGAGGGAGAGGCCCUGUUGCCCCGUCUGGCUGCUGCCUGCCUCCGCCUUGGCCCUCUCCUCAAUGGAAGCCUGCUGUAUGCUUCCACGAAGCGCUUAUUUCUGCCUCCAAUCAGGAUAGCUACAAGGACUUGUCACUGUCCCCAGCUACGUGCCCCUCGGCAUCCCAGGAGGAAGGGUGCCUAGUGGGCAGUGGAGCACCGAGAGCCAUCUCCCUCCUGGGUUCUGCACCCUACCUGCUCAGCCCCUCUGGUGGGGCCCUGCUGUCCUUCCGGGUCCUGUCACCUCUCCCUGGCCUUCUGCUCAUCCAGCCCACUGGGCCUCAGAAAGCCCGGGCGACCACAUCAAGGCCGCUAAGCCUCAGUAA